This 372-nucleotide ribosomal RNA is filed under the name uncultured eukaryote. RNAcentral describes it as "partial 18S ribosomal RNA". It matches the Rfam family "Eukaryotic small subunit ribosomal RNA", at positions 592 to 975 of the family's 1831-position model. The record is from RNAcentral.
CAAUAGCGUAUAUUAAAGUUGUUGCAGUUAAAAAGCUCGUAGUUGAAUUUUUGCUUGCCGCCGAUGUCGGAACUUCCGUACGUUCGGCGGCGUGCAUCCUUGGGUGGAACCUGUGUGGCAUUAGGUUGUCGUGCAGGGGAUGCCCAUCUUUUACUGUGAAAAAAUUAGAGUGUUCAAAGCAGGCUUAUGCCGUUGAAUAUAUUAGCAUGGAAUAAUAAGAUAGGACUUUGUCGCUAUUUUGUUGGUUUGCGCGAUAAGGUAAUGAUUAAUAGGGACAGUUGGGGGUAUUCGUAUUCCAUUGUCAGAGGUGAAAUUCUUGGAUUUUUGGAAGACGAACUACUGCGAAAGCAUUUACCAAGGAUGUUUUCAUUA